UACGGAGGAGGCAAGCGUUAUCCGGAAUUAUUGGGCGUAAAGCGUCCGCAGGUGGCUGUGUAAGUCUGCUGUCAAAGAGCGAAGCUCAACUUCGUAAAGGCAGUGGAAACUACACGGCUAGAGUGCGUUCGGGGCAGAGGGAAUUCCUGGUGUAGCGGUGAAAUGCGUAGAGAUCAGGAAGAACACCGGUGGCGAAGGCGCUCUGCUAGGCCGCAACUGACACUGAGGGACGAAAGCUAGGGGAGCGAAUGGG
This 253-nucleotide ribosomal RNA is filed under the name uncultured bacterium. RNAcentral's name for it is "partial 16S ribosomal RNA". It matches the Rfam family "Bacterial small subunit ribosomal RNA", at positions 524 to 776 of the family's 1533-position model. The record is from RNAcentral.